AAGUCGUAACAAGGUUUCCGUAGGUGAACCUGCGGAAGGAUCAUUCACAAUAAGUGUUUUAUGGCACUUUUUAAAUCCAUAUCCACCUUGUGUGCAAUGUCAGUCGGUUUUCUUUUUCGUCAAGAAAAAAAAGGAUCGACCAAACAUCAACUUAUUCCAAUUGAACUUUUGUCUGAAAACUAUUAUGAAUAAACUAAUUCAAAAUACAACUUUCAACAACGGAUCUCUUGGCUCUC
Molecule: unclassified non-coding RNA, 236 nt
Filed under: Linnemannia exigua
Lineage: Eukaryota; Fungi; Mortierellomycota; Mortierellomycetes; Mortierellales; Mortierellaceae
Description: Mortierella exigua partial internal transcribed spacer region
Rfam family: Eukaryotic small subunit ribosomal RNA (bases 1-46)
Source: RNAcentral